Felis catus (domestic cat) is the source of this 1773-nucleotide long non-coding RNA. RefSeq lists it as uncharacterized. The transcript has 2 exons. Lineage: Eukaryota; Metazoa; Chordata; Mammalia; Carnivora; Felidae. The record is from RefSeq and is a predicted model, not a curated record.
UCCCACCUCCUCCCGGAAGCCUUCUCUGACUCCCUCACCGGAUCUUUGCCCCCCUGGAUUGCUGAAGGCGCGAUCAAUCUCUGUGUUUCUCAAAAGACAAGGUCCCCCGAAGCAGCAUCACAUUUGUGAUGACAUAAUGCCUGUGAUAUCACCCAACUUUUUACCUGAGUGGAUCUUGUCACCUUACCUAGAAUAUAUGCUCCUUCCAAGCAGGAGUUCCCUGACAUGCCUCAAGACAUCGAGCCCAGGCCCAGCAAGUGCUUCCCUGCCCUUAAUUUUUAAAAUCCAGCUAUGAAUAGCAGCUGUGAUUCAUUUUUUUCCCCAUGCAAGCCACUGCUGGAGCCAUGGGUCUGGAAACAGCCUCUGCAUUAGAGGAGAUUAACCUUCAACUUCAAAACAAAAACAAACAACAACAACAACAUCAACAAAAUCAACAAACUAACCAAGACCUCAUCUGCCUAAGGAGAAAAUCUACAAGGAAAUACACAGACAGGUUAACAUGGUCUUAUUGGGUGAUGGAGUCAGGAAUGAUAUUUUCCAAAUUUCUUGUUACAUGAUUUUAUAACAGGAGAAGAAGUAAAGGCACAGGCUGAUAAUAAAGAUAGCAUGGACCAAAGAGAGAAAGCCCACGGGAGCAAGCCAGACAGAGCUAAUUCCCAGGCCAGGCCAGCCCGAGUGGCCACACUCGGGUGGGGUGUCAGGAGACUGGCUCAGAGGGGACACCUGCUUCCUCCAAAGGCCUGGGGGGUCUGAAGCAGAGGCCCAGGCCAGAGGUGGUGUCCCGCCCUGUGGGGUGAAGGCCACACACGCCCUGGGAAGGGAGGCGGUGGCCCCCGUUCACUGAGCCCAGUAUUUCAAAUAGAUCUCAAACGCUGGGGAAUUCAAGGCAGAUCAAAGGAUGCCCAACUCUAUGCGGUAGGAUGCAAUUUAUAUAUAGUCCUCAUUUCCCCCAAGAGCUGGGAGAGGCAGGGGCAAAAGUCAGGUUUGAGAAGGUUUUAGAUAACUCUUAAAUAAGAGCUCCAUAAAUAGCCAUUUUUAAAGGGAAACUAGGCUGUUCAGGGACAGAAGGAGGGUGAUAUCAGCAAAGACAAGCACGUUUGGCCUCCCGGUCCGCCUCAGGGUUCUGGGCUGGAUGGGUGGGUGCCAGGGGCUGCAUGCCGCGUGCCCUCACUACCCACUCCCAGGCACCAGCCAGGCCCCGCCCCAAGGACGGCAGCUCCUCGGGACAGGACCAAAAGAGGCCCCCCCCGCCCAACAUCUGGCCUCACCGCUGUUGGUAGGCCCUGUGCCCAGGCUUCAGCUCAGGCCCACCUCUGAUCCCACUGUGAUCAAACGUGUCAGCCUGGGCACUGAGCACCACCCCCUGACCCAGAUCCUGGUGUUCUAGCUCCUAACCUGCCACCACCUGGCAGGGUGACCCUGGGCAGGGCAGGCCUCUGUAAAUGAGCCAGAUGAGAGGCUCUCUAUGAAUUCUUCGAGUUCUAAUGCUUCGUCCCACUGCAAGGACACCCUGGUUUCCCGGAGGCCUGGGACUGAGGACUGAAGGGCUGCACAUCCUGGAGAGGCUCUGCUCCAGCUGGCCGGUCCCGGCCAGCACCCACGAGUGCGGCAUGGGGAAAGGACUUGCAGACGAGACCACAGACCUGCUGAGCAAUUCUGGAGGAAUCACGCAUAGCAGCAGAGGGCCAGACAUUUCCGACCAUGAAUUGUGUUUAAAUUUUCCCACAAGGAAAAAAGAUGAAGUCUAGAAACUUUAAAUUGGAAUCUCAAACA